This is a long non-coding RNA of Cyprinus carpio (common carp), 1924 nucleotides long. RefSeq lists it as uncharacterized. The transcript is spliced from 3 exons. Lineage: Eukaryota; Metazoa; Chordata; Actinopteri; Cypriniformes; Cyprinidae. The record is from RefSeq and is a predicted model, not a curated record.
AAAUACCAAGUGUUAAACCUGCUAUUUGAAUACCAAAGACAAGUUGAGGCCUGCGCAAGGAAUCAUGUGCCAAUGUAUUUUGGUAAUAUCACAACCUGUCUCAAAAAAAAAAAGAAAGAGAGAGAGAGACCACAUCCAAAUUUUGCACAUCCAAUUGAUUAAAAUGAUUUAACGAUUCACCAGAAAAAAGACUGGUAUUUUCACUGCAGUGAACCAGACACUUAAAGGGUAACUAGACCCCAAAAUGAAAAUGUUGUCAUUAAUCACUUACCCCCAUGUCGUUCCAAACCCGUAAAACUUUUAUUCGUCUUCAAAUUUACGAUUUAACUGUUUAUUGAAAUAGCAGUAUUUUGAUGUAGGAAACUGGACGUAUUUGUACAGCAAUUGUUUUUACAGUUUACCAUGAGUAAUAGUGCAAAACAUACAGCUGACAAUAAUUCUAAUACUUAUUGCACUGACAACCAAGAAUCUCCAGAGGCAAUACAGCAAUACAUCUUACAUUCAGUUCCUAAACUAAAUUAUGCCUUAACACUUCAACUUGAUCAUACAGGAAGUGACUUUUAACACCAUUUUUAUACUAUACUUAGCAGCAGUUAGCAUCAAACAAGACCUCAUUGUUGCUGCUAGAUGAUGCUGGUUCGUACUACUGAGUCUACUUAGGAUAAGAUUUAUUCGGGAAGAUAUGACAGCAAAAGAGACCUGUGACAAUUUUGGCGACUGGCCUCGCUACUUCUUGUUCUGUGUCUGGGUCGUCGACAUUGGCAUGAUAUUUUUGGUUUAUCACUUGAAAACACGUUUGAAAGAAAUAACUGAAAAAUUCCAAAGGGACAGACAUGAAGAAGAGGACUAUAUCAACUACAGAACAAGCUGAAGCAAUAAUUGAGCAAUUAAUAUAAAACUACUCCCAUACAAAUUUGACCGUACAAAGAAAUGAUUUCUUGUAUUGGAGUGUCUUUAUAUAGACCUAUUUCAUUAAAUGAAUUUAUGUUCAUCACAUUCAAAUGUAUAAUUUGUGUGGCAGUCUGCAGUAAAUUAUAAUAAGUACAGCUUGAUAAUGUGUUGCUCAGCUAUUCUGAUAAAAAAAAAUACUUUGCUUAUACUGAAAAGAUAAUACACUUGUAUAAUAUCUUAAUACAACGAUUGUAUAUAACCUUUUUUACCUGUCACAAAAAAGCCUGAGUUUCAGGUGGGUCUGGAUAUUAUCCCUAAGUAAACGCUUAAAGGAACUGUUCACUCAAAAUGUGAGAAGAUUCAAUAUGCUAUAUUUUUGUGUAAAAAAUAAUGAUAAAAGUCUCAACUUCUUUUGUUGACACCUGUGAAGGAUUUUUUUAAUUAAUCAUAACAUUUCUUUUUCUUGCAGUCUUAACAUUUGUAUGCUUUUGAGUACUAAAUGUCCCCAACACUUAAUUUCAUCCAUGUGUUGCAAUAAAAAGAUGCUGAUGCUGGCCAAAUGGGUGUCCUAAGCAGGAUUGUAUUGUUGUGCCCCCCUCUCUCAAAUAUUAUCAAAGUACAAAAAAAAAAAAACUACUAUGGGGUCGAUAAAAAGUAAAUAUAUAAAAGUAUAUAAAUAUAAAAUAUAAAAGUAAAUAAUAUAAAAGUAAAUAAAUAAAUUGUAAUUAAAUUGUAUUAUUUACAAAUUAAAGUUGUAGCUCUAGACAGUUACAUAUGGCUAUUAUUUUAUUAAUACAGUUGUCUGAUUGAUUUUAUAGUCUCAAGAAUUCGGAAAUCACGCAAAAGAAAAAUUAAGCAGUUUUACUCAAUAAAACCAUGGUUAAUUUUUGUAAGUAUUGUGAUGUCCACAUGUUUUUUGUUGAAUAAUUUUUUCAUAUAAUGCAUUUUAAGUCAUUGUGGUGGCAGAAAAACACUGGUAACAAAUGGAGAGAAACGGGUUAAAUUCAUGGAAUAGGAGGAAAUAUUGUAUUGC